RNAcentral lists this ribosomal RNA (655 nucleotides) under uncultured Thermoplasmatales archaeon. Its description in RNAcentral is "bacterial SSU rRNA". It matches the Rfam family "Archaeal small subunit ribosomal RNA", at positions 455 to 1104 of the family's 1478-position model. Lineage: Archaea; Methanobacteriati; Thermoplasmatota; Thermoplasmata; Thermoplasmatales. The record is from RNAcentral.
GUGCCAGCCGCCGUGCGGUAAUACCCGCAGCUCGAGUGGUGGUCGCUUUUAUUGAGCCUAAAACGUUCGUAGUCGGCCUUGUAAAUCCCUGGGUAAAUCGGACCGCUUAACGGUUCGAAUUCCGGGGAGACUGCAAGGCUAGGGACCGGGCGAGGUCAGAGGUACUUUCGGGGUAGGAGUGAAAUCCUGUAAUCCCGAAGGGACCACCUGUGGCGAAAGCGUCUGACUUGAACGGCUCCGACGAUGAGGAACGAAGGCUAGGGGAGCAAACCGGAUUAGAUACCCGGGUAGUCCUAGCUGUAAACUCUGCCCGCUUGGUGUGGCCUGUCCUUCGGGGGCAGGCUGUGCCGGAGCGAAGGUGUUAAGCGGGCUGCUUGGGGAGUACGGCCGCAAGGUUGAAACUUAAAGGAAUUGGCGGGGGAGCACCGCAACGGGAGGAUGCGUGCGGUUUAAUUGGAUUCAACGCCGGAAAACUCACCUGAGGAGACCAGCGUAUGUGGGUCAAGCCGAAGACUUUACCCGAACAACAGCUGGAGAGGUGGUGCAUGGCCAUCGUCAGCUCGUACCGUAGGGCAUUCACUUAAGUGUGAUAACGAGCGAGACCCCCAUCCCUAGUUGCUAACCCCUCCGAAAGGAGAGGUGCACUCUAGGGAGA